Molecule: transfer RNA, 87 nt
Filed under: Termitomyces sp. J132
Lineage: Eukaryota; Fungi; Basidiomycota; Agaricomycetes; Agaricales; Lyophyllaceae
Also listed under: 1 other name
Rfam family: tRNA
About the family: Transfer RNA (tRNA) molecules are approximately 80 nucleotides in length. Their secondary structure includes four short double-helical elements and three loops (D, anti-codon, and T loops).
Source: Rfam by way of RNAcentral
GCCCGCCUAGCUCAAUCGGCCAGAGCGUCAGACUUUUACGUUAAGGUAUUUAUCUGAAGGCUGCGAGUUCGACCCUCGCGGUGGGCU